RNAcentral lists this unclassified non-coding RNA (384 nucleotides) under Hevea brasiliensis (rubber tree). Lineage: Eukaryota; Viridiplantae; Streptophyta; Magnoliopsida; Malpighiales; Euphorbiaceae. The record is from RNAcentral.
GCCAAAUGAUCCCUAUUGCCAAAAAAGUGUUUGUAAUCAGAAUAAAAUUCUGAAGCAUGGACUUGGAAGAUACUAGACAAAUUUCCAGUACCACAAAUCCGUAAUGGGUUAAUGUUAACAUGAACCUUCAAAGUAACUCUGCAUCUCUUUGGACAAUUUUGUUAGAAAACCAAUGUUAGGAAUAUUCCUUCAAGCAAUGUGUCUCUAUACUCAGCUUGUGAUAUAUAUAGUCACUCAACUACCAAAAGCCUAAAAACAGUAAAUUUGUAUGCCUAUAUCCGCAUUGUGACUCUUUCUUAAAAAAUUAAAUUCUAAGAAGGGUUAAAAGGAAGAAAAUGAACUUAAGAAACAAAAUUUAAUUCAGUUGUUACACAUUAUCUUUUG